CCCUUAGAUGUCCUGGGCCGCGCGCGCGCUACACUGACAUGUUCAACAAGCCUCCUAGUUCGACAGGGUUUGGGAAAUCUUUGAACGCAUGUCGUGAUAGGGAUAGAUCAUUGCAAUUAUUGAUCUUGAACGAGGAAUUCCUAGUAAACGCGAGUCAUCAGCUCGCAUUGAUUACGUCCCUGCCCUUUGUACACACCGCCCGUCGCACCUACCGAUUGAAUGUUUCGGUGAAGAUUCCGGAUAGGACUUUUUUGAUUUAUUUCAAUUUUGUCUUAAAAGCUAUCUAAACCUCAACAUUUAGAGGAAGGUGAAGUCGCAACA
RNAcentral lists this ribosomal RNA (321 nucleotides) under uncultured eukaryote. Its description in RNAcentral is "partial 18S ribosomal RNA". It matches the Rfam family "Eukaryotic small subunit ribosomal RNA", at positions 1470 to 1796 of the family's 1831-position model. The record is from RNAcentral.